CAAUUUAUUUAUUUUUUUUAUAUUUUUUGUUGAAUAGAAUUUGUAUCCCUUAGCAAUUUAUUUAUUUAUUGUCGAGUUCAAUUUUUAUCACUCACCAAUUUUAAAUUCAAAUCUAGGAAUUCAUUUAUUUUUGUUCAACUGAAUUUGUAUCACUUAGUAGUUUUUUACUCAAAUCUUCUUGAAUCAAUUUUUAUUCAAAUCUUCUUGAAUCGAAUUCGUAUCACUGCCUAGUUUUCUUUUCCCACCUUUUACCAGAAUUUGUAUCACUCAGCAAAGAAAAUUUUCAUUCAAAUCUUCUUUAAUUGAAUUUGUAUCACGGCCUGGUUUCUCUUUUCCCUCAUUUUACCAAGCUCGCACUCUAACAGGGUUUGUUGCUAAUUCAUUUUUUUUUUCUUUGAUGGGCACUUCCUGUGCUAUACUGUGAGAAUCAUUUUCUCCCUUCUAAAAACAUUAGUGAGAAAUCCUUGUCUGAACUUCGGAGGCAUGGCAUGAUGGCAAUGGCCAAUUGGCAACGUGUUCUUCUUCUUUUUUUUUGCUUGCUGCCAACUAGUAGUACACAACAGCACACAGCUCUCCAUCAUCUCUCUGGUUGCUGAUGCUAAGGACUUGUUUAGGCCUUGUUUAGUUUACCCAAAAACCAAAAUGUUUUCAAGAUUCUCUGCCACAUCGAAUCUUUCGGCACAUGCAUGAAACAUUAGAUAUAGACGAAAAUAAAAACUAAUUACAUAGUUUAACUAUAAAUCGUGAGACAAAUCUUUUGAUCCUAAUUAGUCCAUGAUUGAACAAUAUUUGUCACAAACAAACGAAAGUGUUACAGUAGCGAAAUCCAAAAUCUUUUCACAUCUAAACC
Molecule: long non-coding RNA, 850 nt
Filed under: Sorghum bicolor (sorghum)
Lineage: Eukaryota; Viridiplantae; Streptophyta; Magnoliopsida; Poales; Poaceae
Description: long non-coding RNA (SBIC_LNC000192)
Source: RNAcentral